RNAcentral lists this small RNA (62 nucleotides) under Arabidopsis thaliana (thale cress). Its description in RNAcentral is "ATSL091400". Lineage: Eukaryota; Viridiplantae; Streptophyta; Magnoliopsida; Brassicales; Brassicaceae. The record is from RNAcentral.
ACUAAAUUUUCUUUUCUGCUGUCUUUAAUGUUAAUUCUGGGUGGACAGGUUUUCUUGCACAC